AGUGAACGCUGGCGGUAGGCCUAACACAUGCAAGUCGAACGGCAGCACAGUAAGAGCUUGCUCUUACGGGUGGCGAGUGGCGGACGGGUGAGGAAUACAUCGGAAUCUACUUUUUCGUGGGGGAUAACGUAGGGAAACUUACGCUAAUACCGCAUACGACCUACGGGUGAAAGCAGUGGAGCUUCGGACCUUUCGCGAUUGAAUGAGCCGAUGUCGGAUUAGCUAGUUGGCGGGGUAAAGGCCCACCAAGGCGACGAUCCGUAGCUGGUCUGAGAGGAUGAUCAGCCACACUGGAACUGAGACACGGUCCAGACUCCUACGGGAGGCAGCAGUGGGGAAUAUUGGACAAUGGGCGCAAGCCUGAUCCAGCCAUACCGCGUGGGUGAAGAAGGCCUUCGGGUUGUAAAGCCCUUUUGUUGGGAAAGAAAAGCAGCAGGUUAAUACCCCGCUGUUCUGACGGUACCCAAAGAAUAAGCACCGGCUAACUUCGUG
Molecule: ribosomal RNA, 492 nt
Filed under: uncultured bacterium
Lineage: Bacteria
Description: partial 16S ribosomal RNA
Rfam family: Bacterial small subunit ribosomal RNA
Source: RNAcentral